Molecule: long non-coding RNA, 635 nt
Organism: Poecilia latipinna (sailfin molly)
Lineage: Eukaryota; Metazoa; Chordata; Actinopteri; Cyprinodontiformes; Poeciliidae
Exons: 3
Source: RefSeq, a predicted model, not a curated record
AUAUACAGCAGUUUCCGGAGCCAUAAAUGGAGAAAACAUCAGUCAUGCACCAUUAAUGACUUUAAAAGUGGAAUAGUUGUCACGUCACUCAUUUCCAAUCCAUCUGACUAUGACUUGAAUGAAGAAAUAGAGCUAACCACUGAGAGAACCAUACGGGAGAAGAUGGCCAGGACUUUUCAGUUCAGGAGGCAAGAGAUUGUGGAUCAGAAGCCAACCAUCGAGAACCUCAUGGAAAGAUGGCCAGCUUUAUUUCAGAUGGAAGAGGUUGAUGCAGAGUUUCUGCGCGUUACUGCUGUUCCCCUCCUGACCUGAUUUAUGGCGCACCUGGACAAGCACUCCCCGCAGCUGCUGAAGAUCUUCAGAAAGAAAGGAGGGAUCACUAAAGCAAAAACUGCCACGAUCCUUGAGUUUCUUGACCAGGGUGCUGAUGCAGAUUUCAGAAGGGAGUGUAUCCUCAAAGCCCUCAUCAUCUACCUGGGAGAACGUGUUGAGGACCUUAUAAAGGAAUACAUGGUAUGUCCAGAUAUUUUCUGUCACAAUGAUGAUUCAACUUUAUUCAUCACGGGAGAACACCUAUGCCAUUAUACAGUAUAUAGUGAUUAAUGAGGUGUGCCAGACUGCAGUUGUUCAGUUGC